AUAGGCGGUAAACGCAUCUAUCUUUCUCAGCAACCAACCCCUAACUUUCUAGGGUUUAACGCAUCGCCCUAGUUCAGUGACUCAGUCCUUCGCACGCUUUUCGUCUUCUCUUCCGCAGAUCCCCCAAAUACUAGAAAAACCCCCUCCACCAAAUGACCCUCUAAAACCCUAACCCUCCAUUUCCCCUUCAUUUCUUAUACCUAACCCUACUCUAAUUCCUGAGCCAUGUACCUCUACAGCCUCACUCUCCAGCGAGCCACCGGCAUAGUCUGCGCCAUCAACGGAAGUUUCUCCGGCGGCAAGACCCAAGAGAUCGUUGUCGCCCGCGGCAAGCUCCUCGAGCUUCUUCGACCCGACGACAGCGGUAAGAUCCAAACGCUUCUCUCCGUUGAAAUUUUUGGCGUCAUUAGGUCUUUAGCUCAGUUUAGGCUUACUGGGUCUCAGAAAGACUAUAUUGUUGUCGGGUCCGAUUCCGGUCGUAUAGUUAUCCUCGAGUACAACAAGGAGAAGAAUGUUUUCGACAAAAUUCACCAAGAAACUUUCGGCAAAUCGGGCUGUCGUAGAAUAGUUCCGGGCCAGUACUUGGCCACUGAUCCAAAGGGUAGGGCGGUGAUGAUUGGGGCUUGUGAGAAGCAGAAGCUUGUUUAUGUGUUGAAUAGGGAUACGGCGGCGAGGCUGACCAUUUCCUCGCCAUUGGAGGCGCAUAAAUCGCAUACGAUAGUGUAUUCUAUCUGUGGAGUUGAUUGUGGGUUCGAUAACCCGAUAUUUGCUGCCAUAGAGUUGGAUUACUCGGAGGCAGACCAGGAUUCAACUGGGCAGGCAGCAAGUGAGGCCCAGAAGAAUUUGACUUUUUAUGAGCUUGACUUAGGGCUUAACCACGUAUCCAGGAAGUGGUCGGAGCCAGUUGAUAAUGGUGCUAACUUACUUGUUACUGUUCCCGGAGGAGGGGACGGGCCGAGUGGUGUGUUGGUUUGUGCGGAAAACUUUGUGAUAUAUAAAAAUCAGGGACACCCGGAUCUUAGGGCUGUGAUUCCUAGACGAGUAGAUCUGCCUGCUGAGCGAGGGGUUCUUAUAGUUUCAGCAGCAGUGCAUAAGCAGAAAGCGAUGUUCUUCUUUCUGUUGCAAACAGAGUAUGGGGAUAUUUUUAAGGUUACUUUGGACCAUGACAAUGACCGUGUUACAGAGUUGAAGAUUAAGUACUUUGAUACAAUUCCGGUUACUUCCUCCAUGUGUGUGCUGAAGUCAGGGCACUUGUUCGCUGCUUCAGAAUUUGGGAAUCAUGCUUUCUAUCAGUUCCAAGGUAUAGGUGAUGAUGCUGAUGUGGAGUCUUCAUCGGCUACAUUGAUGGAAACAGAAGAAGGUUUCCAGCCAGUGUUUUUCCAGCCUAGACGACUUAAGAACCUUCUCAGGAUUGACCAAGUGGAGAGCCUAAUGCCAAUAAUGGACAUGAAAGUGGCUAAUCUCUUUGAAGAAGAAACACCCCAGAUAUUUACGCUUUGUGGGCGGGGCCCUCGUUCGUCUCUUAGAAUGUUAAGGCCUGGUUUAGCUAUUAGUGAAAUGGCUGUGUCAGAGCUUCCUGGUGUGCCAAGUGCGGUUUGGACUGUGAAAAAGAAUGUUAAUGAUGAGUUUGAUGCAUACAUUGUGGUGUCAUUCUCAAAUGCGACUCUCGUUCUUUCCAUUGGUGAGACAGUUGAAGAAGUUAGUGAUAGUGGGUUUCUUGAUACCACCCCCUCACUUGCUGUUUCUUUAAUUGGUGAUGACUCUCUCAUGCAAGUUCAUCCCAAUGGCAUUAGGCAUAUUAGGGAGGAUGGGCGUAUCAAUGAGUGGAGGACUCCUGGAAAGAGGACAAUUGCUAAGGUUGGCUCUAACAGACUUCAAGUGGUCAUUGCACUUAGUGGUGGUGAAAUUGUGUAUUUUGAGGUGGAUAUCACUGGCCAAUUGAUUGAAGUGGAUAAGCACGAAAUGUCAGGUGAUGUGGCUUGUUUGGACAUUGCCCCUGUACCUGAAGGAAGGCAAAGAUCUCGUUUCCUUGCUGUUGGUUCAUAUGACAACACAAUUCGUAUCUUAUCAUUGGACCCUGAAGAUGGUAUGCAGAUUCUGAGUGUGCAAAGUGUUUCUUCGGCUCCAGAAUCUCUCCUUUUUCUCGAAGUCCAGGCAUCAAUAGGUGGGGAGGACGGUGCUGAUCAUCCUGCCAGCCUUUUUCUUAAUUCUGGUUUGCAGAAUGGAGUUCUAUUUAGAACAGUUGUAGAUAUGGUGACUGGUCAGCUUUCUGAUUCCCGGUCUCGUUUCUUGGGACUGAGAGCCCCAAAGCUUUUUUCUAUUAUAGUACGAGGCAAGCGUGCCAUGCUUUGCUUGUCAAGUCGACCUUGGCUUGGCUAUAUUCACCAAGGACAUUUUCUUUUAACACCUUUAUCAUAUGAGACUCUUGAAUAUGCAGCAUCAUUUGCCUCUGACCAAUGUGCAGAAGGUGUAGUUGCUGUUGCUGGUGAUGCUUUGAGGGUUUUUACUAUUGAGAGACUGGGAGAAACAUUUAAUGAAACUGUAAUUCCCCUAAGAUACACACCAAGAAAGUUUGUGCUUCAACCCAAGCGAAAAUUGCUGGUAAUUAUUGAGAGUGAUCAAGGAGCAUUCGCAGCUGAAGAGCGUGAAGCUGCAAAAAAGGAGUGCUUUGAGGCUGUUGGAACUGGGGAAAAUGAAAAUGGUAAUAUGGAGCAGAUGGAGAACGGUGGUGAUGAGGACAAAGAUGAUCCCCUCUCGGACGAACACUAUGGCUAUCCCAAGGCUGAAUCAGACAGGUGGGUUUCUUGCAUUAGAGUUCUUGACCCAAAGACAGCUACUACAACUUGUCUGCUGGAGCUUCAGGACAAUGAAGCUGCGUUCAGUAUAUGCACAGUGAAUUUCCACGAUAAAGAAUAUGGAACUCUUUUAGCUGUUGGCACUGCAAAGGGACUACAGUUUUGGCCCAAAAGAAGUUUAGCUGCUGGUUUUAUUCAUAUUUAUAGGUUUUUAGAGGAUGGAAGGUCACUUGAACUAUUGCACAAGACACAAGUAGAAGGCGUUCCAACUGCUUUGUGCCAGUUUCAAGGACGAUUACUUGCAGGUAUUGGAAAUGUUCUCAGAUUAUAUGAUUUGGGCAAAAGAAGAUUGCUUAGAAAAUGUGAGAACAAACUGUUCCCCAACAGUAUUGUCUCCAUUCACACUUAUCGUGAUCGGAUAUAUGUUGGCGACAUUCAAGAGUCAUUCCAUUACUGUAAGUACAGACGUGAUGAGAAUCAACUGUAUGUAUUUGCCGAUGAUAGCGUUCCAAGAUGGCUUACUGCAUCAUACCAUAUAGAUUUUGACACCAUGGCAGGUGCAGACAAGUUUGGGAACAUUUAUUUUGUGCGGUUACCACAGGAUGUGUCGGAUGAGAUAGAAGAAGAUCCAACCGGGGGGAAAAUAAAAUGGGAGCAGGGGAAGCUGAAUGGAGCUCCCAACAAGGUAGAGGAGAUAGUGCAGUUUCACAUUGGUGAUGUGGUCACCUGCUUGCAGAAGGCAUCUCUAAUUCCAGGUGGGGGAGAGUGCCUCAUAUAUGGCACUGUGACGGGGAGCUUGGGAGCAUUGCUAGCAUUCACCUCUCGCGAUGAUGUUGACUUCUUUUCUCACUUGGAGAUGUAUAUGAGGCAGGAACAUCCACCUUUGUGUGGAAGAGAUCACAUGGCUUAUAGAUCUGCUUACUUUCCUGUUAAGGAUGUGAUCGAUGGGGAUCUGUGUGAACAGUUCCCAACUCUGCCUCUGGAUUUGCAAAGGAAAAUUGCCGAUGAAUUAGAUAGAACUCCUGGGGAGAUACUGAAGAAACUUGAAGAAGUUCGAAAUAAGAUCAUUUGAGGAAAAUUUAACUUAAAGGAGGAGCACAUUAGCAUGUACGGUUAUUUCUUAAUGUUCAUGCGACUGCCACUUAACAUGUUAGGUCAUUGUUCUGAUCUACGGGAAAUUUUUCCAUUAAACAGGUGAGGGGAUAUCAGUGGUUGGUGCCCAAUUCGGGGCACCCUGCUGCCUGUUCUUGCACUGAUGAGAGAGCAUGCGUGGCGAAAAGAAAUAUCCUUUCGGACUCUGGAUGAGACAGUGGCCCAGUCAUUAAUGUUGGGACUAGUUAGGCUAGUUGGGAAAAGUUGUGGGAUAAUGGGAAAAAGAAGUACACGCAAUAGCCACAUUCCCAGACUGCAGUUUUUUGUUGUAAUUAGUCAUUUGACCUUGAUGCAAUCUCCUCAUGGAAUUAUGUUUAUUGACUGCUGUAUGUGCUUGUAUCUUUCUACCUGGUGUGUGUUCAAUGCCUGCACGGCUACUA
Carya illinoinensis is the source of this 4327-nucleotide RNA transcript. It is a transcript of the gene named spliceosome-associated protein 130 A-like, with no coding region annotated. The record is from RefSeq and is a predicted model, not a curated record. NCBI's taxonomy places the organism in Eukaryota, Viridiplantae, Streptophyta, Magnoliopsida, Fagales, Juglandaceae. The transcript has 5 exons.